GAUGAACGCUGGCGGCGUGCCUAAUACAUGCAAGUCGAGCGAACGGACGAGAAGCUUGCUUCUCUGAUGUUAGCGGCGGACGGGUGAGUAACACGUGGAUAACCUACCUAUAAGACUGGGAUAACUUCGGGAAACCGGAGCUAAUACCGGAUAAUAUUUUGAACCGCAUGGUUCAAAAGUGAAAGACGGUCUUGCUGUCACUUAUAGAUGGAUCCGCGCUGCAUUAGCUAGUUGGUAAGGUAACGGCUUACCAAGGCAACGAUGCAUAGCCGACCUGAGAGGGUGAUCAGCCACACUGGAACUGAGACACGGUCCAGACUCCUACGGGAGGCAGCAGUAGGGAAUCUUCCGCAAUGGGCGAAAGCCUGACGGAGCAACGCCGCGUGUGUGAAGAAGGUCUUCGGAUCGUAAAGCUCUGUUAUUAGGGAAGAACAUAUGUGUAAUUAACUGUGCACAUCUUGACGGUACCUAAUCAGAAAGCCACGGCUAACUACGUG
Molecule: ribosomal RNA, 497 nt
Filed under: uncultured bacterium
Lineage: Bacteria
Description: partial 16S ribosomal RNA
Rfam family: Bacterial small subunit ribosomal RNA
Source: RNAcentral